Molecule: non-coding RNA, 16522 nt
Organism: Pelobates cultripes (western spadefoot toad)
Lineage: Eukaryota; Metazoa; Chordata; Amphibia; Anura; Pelobatidae
Source: the annotation of a GenBank genome assembly
AGGCAACCAGUGUAGAUAACCUAGCAUUGCCUUGGAUCUUAUCUGGAAGAAAUGCUACAAAAAGUCCAGUGACUCUUCUUGACCUUUGCUUUGGAAAGACAGACAACCUUAACCUGCUAUAUGUGGUAACGUAUUAUAUUUCUUAUUUAACUUCGAGAGAGAUAUGGAAAAAAAAACUGUAAUUAAAAAUUCUGCAUAUUGUAUUUUUUUUAACACUUUUUUGAUAACACCUACUACAAAGUGUUCUCCAGCUGUUCUUCACAACUGUACAACAUACUCACUUGAUAGAGGAAUAUUGGAGGGGAGUGAUCUAUCCCUAAGAUAUAGAUGCAGAUUGACAAUGAAGCCAACUUGACAUUGUUAUAUGCUAAGAGCAGGGGCGGGCUGGGACGGUGGGCAAGGGAGCAAUUGCCCCCAAUGCCGCCCUAAAUCCAGGGCUGCAUCCAGCAAAAAAGGGAAAAAUCCAAUUCCCCUGCCUCUGGCUGGGGACUCUGAUUUUUCAACUUACCUCUCUUCCUGCAGCCAGUGGAGUCGCCCGGCCUCUCCUGGUGAUGUCAGAAGAGGGGGUGUGACUUUCACCUCCUCCUCCUGACAUCACCAGGAGUGGGUGGCCAACUCCACUGACUGCUGGCUGCUGCUCCAUCUGGCUCCUGGCUCCUGCCUACCCCUCCCUGGCCUAAGGUAAGACUUUAGGUUUUUUUUUUUUUUUGUCUUGCUCAGCCUCUGUCCCUUCCUCUGCUCCUGCCCCCCCUCUCAGCUCCUGUCCCCCUUGCUCAGCCCCUUGCCCCCUUACCACAGCCCCCAUAACAUCUCCACUACAGCUCCUGUCCCCCAAUUGCAACUCAUAUUACCCACACCAUAGAUAUUAGGGCUGCCAAUCUUUUAGACAGUGACCUUUCUCCCUUUGACACUUUUUCUGGUGCUUAGGUACUAAGUGGGGAUUUACUAACACCCCAUGCAUUAAAGGGCCAGGACUAAUCAAGCCUAUAUGAAUAUUGCAGACUUAGGUGUUUAGUAACUUUAUCUCCUCACUUACCUUGGCAUGGAAGUAGCCUUAUAAGGCUAGUCCGGUAUUUAUUAUUAUUUGGAGUCAGUUUAUUUUUGUGUUGAUACUCUGGUUAAAUUGUUCCAUACCACUGGAUGCUUUGGUGCCUACGUCUUUAUCUCCAGUCAGCAUUAUAUUCACAGUUUGUGAAUCUUUUCUUCUUUGUUUCUGUUGCUUGUAUCUAGGGUUAAGCCCCUGGGCAUUGCUGGAGUGGCCUCCUGGUGCAAGGGAUCAGUGUGGAGGUGGUGUAUAUUCCCUUUUACACCCAUUUUCACACUUAUCCCAUUUCUUUCUAUUUUUUUCUGUGUGUGUUACUGUCUGUCUAUGUGUGUGCCAGUAUGUCUGUCUAUGUGUGUGCCAGUAUGUCUGUCUAUGUGUGUGCCAGUAUGUCUGUGUGUGUGUGCCAGCCAGUAUGCCUGUGUGUGUGUGUGUGUGUGUGUGUGUGUGCCAGCCAGUAUGCCUGUAACAGUGUGUCUGUGUGACUGUCAGUGAGUGUGUGUGUGUGUUAGUGUGUGUCAAAUCAGCAAGUGUGUGUGCCUGUCAGUGAGCGUGUCUGUUUAGUUGACUGCCGCCCCUCCCUCCUUUAAAUCACAUGGGAAAGGUGUUUUUACUCUCCUCUUGGUGCAAUGGGCCACUUGACUGGAUUUGCCCCCCAGGCCUAAAGCUGCCAGCACUCCCCUGGCUAGGAGACCUUGCUUUGGGAGGUAUUUCCAAGCAGCACAAAUUGGAUAGGAGGGGGACAGGAGGUAAAACUUUAGUGCACCACCCAAAGACCUGGCAUAAGGGAAGAGAAGACAAAUAGUUCUUUAUAACUCAAGUAGCAUUUUUUGUAAAACAAAAAAAAUGAGAUUGCAAUACCAUUGGUUUUAGCGUAGCGGCAUGUGUUUAACUGUCAUGGUAACUAAACAGUUACAAUGUUCAGUACUAGAACUAUGAAUUGUUGUCUUUUUGUUUGAACACAACUCAAGCUAGAACAACCUCUGAUUACGAUAACGGAGUAGUUUCACAAGCUAGAACAACCUCUGAUUACGAUAAGGGAGUAGUUUCACAAGCUAGAACAACCUCUGAUUACGAUAAGGGAGUAGUUUCACAAGCUAGAACAACCUCUGAUUACGAUAAGGGAGUAGUUUCACAUGCUAGAACAACCUCUGAUUAUGAUAAGGGAGUAGUUUGACAAGCUAGAACAACCUCUGAUUACGAUAAGGGAGUAGUUUCACAAGCUAGAACAACCUCUGAUUACGAUAAGGGAGUAGUUUCACAAGCUAGAACAACCUCUGAUUACGAUAAGGGAGUAGUUUCACAAGCAGCCUGGUUUACAUAUUUCUAUGAAAUUGCACCAAAACUGCUUUUUUAAUACCAUGUUUGUUGGUCACUGGGCUGCACGGCUGCUAUGGGAUGUGUUCCAUUGAUUACCUGUCUACUAUUUGAUUGUCAAAGCAAUGUUUACUAUAUGACCUGAAAGUCAAAGGCCAUUGCACAAUUCCAAUUUUUUUUUUAAUUUCCCUCUGGAAUUUUCCAUUGACUGCCAUUGAUAAGCCUACAUGUACACAUAACCGAUGAAACACAAAUUUCUGGCCUCCAUUGUCUAUAUCAUGGGCGUGAGCUUUAUAGAACUGAAGCAAAUUGACGUUGACAGCCUGUGAUAUCCACUGAUCUCACUUGAAAAACAUUAUUGCAAAUUCCGUCUCAGCAGAAGUGCUUUCCUUCCUGAAUAAUUCAUAGCCAUCUCUUCUUCAUAUAGUGCACCUGCUGUCAGGAUUUUACAUUGCUUAUUAAAAUAUGUGCAGCAAGCCUCACAAUUAAGUCUUUUGAGAUCUGCUAUCAUUUUGCUUAGAUGAUGUUUUACAGUGCAUUAUGUUAGGCCUAACAAAAGCAGGUAAAUUUGCAUCACAACGAUAUAUUCUUCAAAGUAAAUGCUGGAGCGCAGGUCACAUCAAGGGUCAAUCAUGAUAAUAUUUGAAUACUAGACAGGAAUAUAAAUGUAUCUUUGCCUUGUAAUAGCUUCCAGAGAUUUUGUAGCGUGGUAUGUUUUUAAAUUUUUACUUUUACAUUUUUUAUACCAAGUCUUGAUGUAAUUGUUGAGGACAAGGAAUGAGGUACUAAAGCCUCUGCUGCUGCUUAUUCAUUCUUUAUUUUUUUUUAAUGCAUUUAUAUUCUUUUUUAUAGUUUGACUUCGCUUUCAUUAGACUAAUUUUGGGAUGGAGGUGGUGUGUGACCGGAUAAUCCUACAGUUUUUUUGUGCUUGUUAUGAUUCUAGGAAAAUGCCCCAGAAAUCUUACCUUUGAAAUAUUGCUUGCUGUGUGACUUUCAUCAUAUCCUCCAGUGUUCACCGUUCCUACCCCUUGACCUCGUAAUGGGGGCACUGAGCAGUAUACAGCACUCUGAUCCUGUCAGGAAACACAGUUUGUUUGUGUGAUGCUGUGCACUUGCAGCAAAGUUCCUACAAGUAUACAGAUUAAAAUGGUAUGAGCAAGCAGUCUAUUUUCACAAAGUCUAAGUACGUGAACUAGUUCAUUUCCAAUAUUGUCACUUUUCUUUUUUAAUGACCAGCCUAUACGUGUAAAAUAUCUGUUGCUUCUGUAUGUAGUGGCUGUUAAUCAAUUGUCAAAUUUCACAAUUAGCUACCGCUGCUGAAAGACAGUCUCUCUCAUUAUUCUUUACUGAAAGAAAAAAACGCUACUUAGUAACUGGUUUCCAACCCUGCUGCUACAUAUUAAUGGAUGCCACUUACCCUCAAACCUUGAUGCCAAACUCUGGCCUGAGGAAAGAAGCUAAUAGACCUAUACAGACCCUAUAUCUAAUACAUAUCAGUUAUCCGGUAUUACACUGAAACCCUCAAACAUAUAUCAAAGUAUAUUAAGCCAUUUCAAAAUACAAUAAAAUAAAUGAAAAGGCCAAACACAUGAUGUAAAAAAAAAUAUAUAUAAUUAUUCUUUAUAAAAUGAAAUUGCAUGUUUCAUUUAAAUGAACAAUACAUACAUUACCCUAAAAAUACAGAACAAUCACCUGUUCCUUAGCAGGUCUUAAAAUUAGGUAAAUACAACCUGAGAAAAACAACACAUGACAUAUUACACUAUGUCAUGAUUUAUUUAACAAAAAUAACGCCAAAAUUGAGAAGCCAUGUGUGAAAAAUGUACACCUCAUGAUUCAAUAGCUUGUCGAACCACCUUUAGAAGUAAUAACGUAAGAUAAUCUUUGUCUGUAUGACUUUAUCAGUCUCUCACAUCGUUGUGGAGGAAUUUUGCCACACUUUUCUUUACAACAUUGCUUCAAUUCAUUGGGGUUUGCCGGAGUUUGUUUAUGCACAGCUCUCUUAAGGUCCCUCCACAGCAUUUCAGGUUGAGGUGUGGACUUUGGGUCAUCGCAACAGCCACUCUGUUGUAGAUUUGCUGGUGUGCUUGGCAUCAUUGUCUUGUUGUAUGACCCAAUUUCGACCCAAUUCUCGAACAGGUUGUCUCACAUUUGAUUCUUGAAUACUUCAGUAUAUAGAGGGGUUCAUGGUCAACUCGAUGAUUACAAGGUUUCCAGGUCCUGUGGCUGUAAAACAAGCUGAAAUCAUCACCCCUCGAUCACGGUGCUUGACAGUUUGUAUGAGGUCUUUGGAAUGAGAUGCUGUUUUUGGUUUUCGCCAAACAUGGCGCUGUGCAUUAUGGCCAAACAUCUCCAUUUUCGUCUCGUCUGUCCAAAGGACAUUGUUCCAGAAGUCGUGGUUGUUCAGAUGCAACUUUGCAAAUCUAAGACGUGCUGGCAUGUUCUUUUUAAAACUAACGAUAGAAAACAUUAGGGAAAUCUGUUCUCCCCCUAAAUGCACUCUGUAGAAACUGACUGGAAACCUUUGAAUCGCUUUUUACAUUUCUAACAUUCAAGUAUUAUAAAGCAGUGUUGUUGGUUGUCAUUCCCCACUUUCAUUUUCUCUGCCCUUGAAAACCUGCCAUAAUUAGACUGUACAAUCUUAACAACAUGUAUGCAUAUUGUAUAUACUAGUUAUAUUUUUUUUCUCCACUUUUUUCCCUUCUUUCUCAGUUAAAAAAAAAUAAAAAUGUUCAUCAAGUGCUGAAAUAGUUUGAAACAUCCUUUAUGGACUUCAUUAUAAAACAUGCUGUUUUUCAUUAUUUCACAAAAUUUAUAUUUAUUUAAAAAACAGUCACGGGUGGUAGUGGUUACAAUGUUUGUUUAAGCUUGUGGUAUCUUUGCCAGUCCUAAUUUACUAUGCUUUCAAUUAAAUGUAUUUAUUUUUUAACUACUUGGGCAAGAAAGCACAAUGUGCCUAGUAUGAAGAAAACAAUUACAUUUUCUGCUUAGUAUUUUAGUUUUCUGCUUUGUUUUUUUUUGUUACCUGAAAUAUAUUAGGGGUGUAUGUUGCUUGUCAGGAUUUCUUCCCUUCCCUUCCAUAGGGAAUAUUUAAACAGUUAACGUUAAAUAUUAUUAACACAUUAAGUGGAAUUUGCUGAAUGUGCUGAAAUACAUCUUACUGUGAUUUCCCCAACAUUAAUUAGCCUUUGACAAUUCUGAUCUGUUUGUUUCAGUUACUAUUGGCAUUGUUUAAUGAGUCCCACCUUUUCCUCUCUAUAAAAAGAGAUGUUUCUGUCUGUCCAUCAUAACCACUCGACUUAUUAUUUUUGUUGUUUGUUUUAUUUUGUUGGUGGGGUGGGUUGUAUUGUGAAACCAUCUUAAGGGGUUCAACAAGAGCUGGGGCUCUUACAACGCACCACACGCAACCUCCCUGCUGCCACCAAGAUAAUGCACAAGUUUCACUUCUGACAUCUAUACAAAUGUGUCCAGGAUUGGAGAGCAAUAAUAAGCUGUGAGCACAUGGGGUAAGGCUAGCUCAGAGCUCACAGCUAUGACAUUCAAGGGCCCAUUUAAGAUUUAAGAGCAGGGGUGCCACAAGUAGAUUGCCAGCCAUUACAAACUACAUGUCCCAUGAAAUCUUACCAAUAAAAUCUUAUAAGGCUGACAAAGCACCAUGGGAAGUAUAGUUCUGGAACAACUAAGAAUCUACUUCCUGGCCACCCUGGUUGUUUUUAGUGUAUAAAUCGCAACUGUUGGCUGUUUCCAACCUUUUCACUUUCUGUAAACUGCUGAUCUUCUAUUCUGAUAAGAAAAACAAUUUCAAAUUGGAGAUGUUUUUCUUUAAAAACUGACUUACCUACAAAGGAAUGUAUCAAAACGUAUGAUUAGGAAUUAAUUAAAAUGACAUAAAAAAUGAACAAAAAACCCAGCAAAAAUAUAAAUGUUUAUUUGAGGCUUUAUUCAAAGAAGGUGCAUUUACUGUAGUGUGACUAAUGGCCUCUAGUUGUAUUUAUAUUGGAGGGAACUGUCAUACCCACUCAUUCUACAUAGACUGGAUUAUUAUCUAAACCAGGAAGCACUGAGCAUAUACCCGCACGCCGUGGGCUAAAAUAUCCAAACAUUAAACGUUCUCUAACUUGGCUAUUUUUCAAUUUCUGCUUUUUAGCCAAAAAAAUGAAAUUCCCUUGUUAAUCCCAGUUUAGUAAAUAGUACUGUGACUUGGGGUCAUAUCUUAAGUAUUAUAGAAGCAUAUAGAUCAUUGGCAAUGUUUCAUAUUUCACAUUUACUAUCAUAGUGCUCCAGGGUGACUUUUGGUUUCCAGAGGAUGCACAGGAAUACUGUGUUGUCACACUCACAAGAGAAGAUACACCUUAAGGGGCUUUAACUACACAGAACUGUUUUAUCUUAUAUGUCUAAGAUGAAGGUCUUUUUUUUCAAGAAGCCCAGCAUUCCCCACUAAAUAAUUGUUUUUAGUCUUCUACAGUUCAUGCAUGUGUCGACUUGCAUAAUAUUAAUACCCAGAAGAUGGCACACCCAAUGGCAACUUGCUAAUUUUCUAUGCACGCCCACCUAUAGCUUUAAAACACUAUUAUUUGGUUCCGCAGGCCUUGGAACAGACUAUUAUUUUGCAAAUAUAAUGUCUACUUACCAUGUGGCAAAUGUCAGCACCUGCUCAAUCCAAAGCAAUGUUGAAAGACUGUGUCUAGAAUAGUUCCAGAAUGCUGUGUAAAAUAAGUAAAUUAGCAAUUCUAUUAUUUAGAUUUUAUGUCCAUAUUUGUGUAGACUUCCUUUAAUUUCUGUAGUCGUACUUUGCAUCAUUAUUGGUAAACCUUUGGAACCUACGGUGCAUAUUCAAGCACAUGAAGAUCUGAGAUUGGCACUCAGUGUCUAAUACGCCAUGUACCCUGGAAGCCUAAAUUAAAUAUGGAAAACCAAGGUAAUGCUGAUAAGUAAAUACGUAUGAGGCUUGGUUGGUAAUACAGAUAUUAAAUUUUUAUUCCCUGUAUUAAAUUAGGUAAGGAUCUACUGAUAUUAAAAAAGGAGGUGUACCUAGGUGACAUGGCACUCUGUGUGAAAAUCUAUUUUAUAACCACCCCACCCCACCCAAACCAAAAAACUAAAAAAGUGUCCCCUUCAGCAGCACCCCCAAGACCCUGUUGUUAGUGAAAAUAGACUCACAUGCUGACAUUCACACACCUACACAUUUUUGUAUACACAUGCAUUCCUAUACACAUGUAUACAGACACACAUGUUGACAUAUAUAAACACAUACACAGACUGACACACAUUAAUAUACACACACUGAUUUAUACACACAUUAAUAUGCACACGCAUACAUGUAUAUCCAUACGCAUACACCAGUUUUUGUUGUUGUAUUUUUAUUAUGAUUUUGUCCACUCAGCCUCUCUUUUCUUGCCUUUAAUGGGAGAGCUCGACUGUAACCUCAACCCUGGUGUCGAGUGGGGAAGUUAAGAAAUCAGUGUCUGUACUGAUUGCCCAGCUUCUUGCAAGCUCACUGCAACUCUGUACUGAUGGUGGGACUGGGGUGACGUUUAACUGGGGCUCCAGUUUCAGUAUAGGGUGCACAAAGGAUAUCAUAUGGCUAUUCCCAGCAGCUCACUCGUGCCAGCUCCGGAGCCACAGUGACAGACCAGGCACCUGCCGUGUGACAGCUUUGCAAGUAAUGUUUUGUGUGCUCUAUGUACCCCUCUGCUGUCUUUCACUUUGGGGAGAGCACUGCGGUCAUUCGAACGCAGCAGAAAGCCUUAAUACAGUGUGGUCUCAUGGUGUGGCUUAUUACCAAUGUUGUUACUCGAAACAGAUGAUUACUGAACUCAUUCUUGUUUUUGUAUUUUUUUCAUAAAAUUAAAUAAUGCAUCUUCUGGGUAAUACCUCUCAAAUAUUUUUCUUAAUAUGUCAAACAAUUGGUAAAUGGUUUGACUACUUACAUUGGGAGGGCACCAAGACACUCCUGGUACCAUAACUACUACAAUGUGCUUUAGUGGCUACGCUGCUUGGAUAGCUCAAUUAAAUGGAGCCUGUGUAAUAACAAAAAUGAGGCAGUUCUUAUUUAGCAUGUGGCAGAAGCAACACUGGCAGAAAGGGAAUAGUCAUGUUUUUACAGUUUUUAGUGUGCAUUCAUAUAAAUGGUAGGAAUAAUUAAUGGGUGUCAUAAAAACAGAAAAUGAAUGACUAGUAACUCCGUUUUAAUCCUUAGUAACGUGGUCAAUAUGAAAAUAUAUUGACCCCAUGGUUAAAAAUAGUUUUAACAUUUUUAUUUGAACUCGCACAUACACGAAAAUUAAAUGAAAGAAUCAAUACAUUUAAUUGGAACAUAGACACAAAUAAAACUAAAAUACCUUUACCUUAAAGCUUAAAAUAUUAAAAAAUAAAUAAAAACCUCCUAACUUUCCCAGGGUUUGGCAAUUUUCCUAAAAUACAAACUUAACAAAAUAUAUUAUAACAUGUAUGACUUUGUUGAAUUUCAACACUGUUACUAUAGCAACCUUAACACAAAGGAAACACAGGUAUUUAUCUUAGCCACAUGUGGCUAGAACAUUCCUUUUAAUAAUAUACCCCACCAACCCUUUUACACAGUGGGUGUCAGAAGAAAGUCCCCCAAGCACCAGGUCGAUAAACUGAAGAUUCUCUGUUUUCCUCACCUGAGAGAGCACAGAAUAUUUCUUAUCAGACAGUACUCUUUGUAGAUGGUGUCCAGUGCUACCUAGUUCAUUUUUGCUAUUAGUAUGCAGUUGUUUGAUAUAUGGGCAAUUAUAUUUCUCAUUUAUAUUAUUUCAAUCAGGUAACCUUUGUGGUUCUUAGCAUGAUUUUCUUUGCGGCCCAAAUGAUUAAAUUAAUAGAGACCCAUUGUUAAAGUGUAUUAUAAUCAUCAUUCAAAUUAAUUUAGCAGAGCACCUAAUUCGACUCAAAAUUAUUGAAUCAAAAUUAUUUCCACAGCGCUUGGGAAGUCAAUACCGCUACAGAAAACAAUUUAAUUGGAGCUUGAAAAGAGUGGUACCCUGCUCUUUCCUCCACUCCAUCCUCUCCUUUUCCUUCGUCUAUUAAUAUUUUUACAAUUUUUUAUUUAUUUAUUUAAAUUAAACAUUAUGAGAGCAGGACACUGAUCUUGAUACAACAGGUUCAUAUUGUCUCAAUAAUAGCCAUCUUAAGGAAAAGUAAUACGCUUUGUAUUUAAAGAAUUCUAAACUCAACUGCAGGACAUAUACUAUAGAUUUUAUUAUUAGCAUAUUAUUUAAUUACUAUCUCCUUUAUGAUAUAUAGUUCAUUUAACAUGUUAAGUGUCUAAUCUUAAUAAAUCUAAAAAAUCUCAGGCACUCACUGUGAUAUGUUCAAUGCAGUUUUUAUUGGAUCUGCAACGUUUCGACCUGUACCCAGGUCUUUGUCAAGCUUGAUAAAGACCUGGGUACAGGUCGAAACGUUGCAGAUCCAAUAAACAUAUCACAGUGAGUGCCUGAGAUUUUUUCAUUUAUGUAGAUUCUAUGGGGCUUGCUGACCCAUGCUCAGUGCACCCUGUGUUAAUUUUUUUUGAUUGAGUGCAACCCUCCUUUUUCUCUUAAGUGUCUAAUCUUAGACUGAUGCUUAUUAUGUCUAAUGUGUACACUGUAAUUUUAUAUCUGCCUCUUUUAAAUACAGAUUUUAAAAGAUUAAAAAAUAAAUGGAGGGGGCACAGCCUGAUUGUACAUUUUCCAAUAGAGGUGCUGAUUGUAAGUCUUAAUUUUAUACCAAAUGCUCUCUGGACACACACAAUAAAAUGUAUUUUUACACCCUGGCAUUGUUUAAAGUUGAUACUUUUGUUUUUUUACAAAUGGGAUUAUCCUUGACAAUAUUUUUUUUUUUUUUUUUUUCGAAGCACCUGCUUACAGUCAAACAGUGGGAUUCUUUUGUUCUGAUGUCAGUGGUCUUGUUUAAAAUCUUUGUGUUUACUUUCUUAUUUUAGGCUGCUCUUCUCUAAACCAUCUAUCUUCGUCCACACUUUGAAAGUUGUUGGUAUAUUCAUUUCAAAAGCCACACAGUCUUGCUAUUUGUUGUUUUUAAUACUUAGAUCAUAAUCCCUUCACGUGUUGCUUACAGAUGGCUUUCAGAGAGGCUUGUCGAGAGCCUGGAGUGUGAAGGAUGCUUUAAUUCCUCGAUGUUUGUUUUAUUGUCAACAGAUAUCGGAUUGUUUCUGCAGGUGUUUCUUCAAACUAUGCCUGGAAUUCUACCUUUAAUAACUACCUCAUAAUUCCUUGCAAUGUUUCUUGUGUAUUUACCAGUAGGGUGCUUUUCAAACUAUAGCUUGGUUGCUGCCUCUAAGUGUGUGCUUGGAGAUACUCUGGAGAGGUUUACUGAUUCUUCAACUGUCUAAGAUUUUGCUAGGAUUUUUCUUUUUACUGUUACAGGUGAGAUUCAUCUAUAGGAAAGGUUACUGAUUGUACAAGGUUUGCUUUCCUGUUGGUAUUUGGUAAGGCAUUUGAUUAGCUAGGUACUUGCUAUUGAUUGCUGGUUAAUUAGCUUCUGUUUGCAGAUAUGCAUAGGCCUACCCAGGUAUUAAACAUUCCUAGUGAGUGGUGCUUUUAGGAGUUAUACAAGGGGUGUGGUCAUUAGUUUGGCUAAUAUAGCUUGGUUGCUGCUUCAAAUUGUGUGCUUGUAUUUAAAAUGGAGGUAAUUUGAGGUAUACAGGAGGACAUCAUUUUUUAAAGUUAAGAUUUGUUUGAUUUAAAACAAGGAUUUUUUUUUGUUUAAAUUAAAAUAAGGAUUAGUUAGAUAAAAAAAAAAAAAAGGAAGGUAUCUAGAAGAGGAUAAAGGUCUAGCUGACUGCUAGCUGAAUAUUUUUGUUCAGUAUUUACAGUUGAAAAUGAAGGAGCCUCAGUUAGGAAAAAGGACAGAUUAGUCAUUUGUUACAUGUGGGUUUACAGUGGAAGAGGUUCUAUUUCAACUAUCAAAAGAAAAGACAAAUAAGUUAAUAGGGCCUGAUGGAAUACACCCAAAGUUAUUAAAAGAGCUUAGUGAUGUACUAGCGAAACCACUAACAGAUUUAUUUAACCAAUCAUUGUUAACAGGAGUAGUCCCAGAAGAUUGGAAGUUAGGAAAUGUUAGCAAAUGUAGUGGGGAAAGUAAUGGAAACUGUGUUAAAGGAUAGGAUUUUUGCACAUUUGAAAUCACACGGAUUUCAAGAUCAGAGACAACAUGGGUUUAUGUCAGGGAGAUUAUGCCAAACUAAUCUUAUUGAUUUUUUUAAAGGGUUACUAAAAUAAUAGAUCAUGGUGAUGCAGUAGACAUUGCUUACCUAGAUUUCAGUAAGGCUUUUGACACUGUUGCAAAUAGAAGGUUAUCAAUAAACUGCAAGUUUGGAUUCCAAUAUUGUUGAAUGGAUAAGGCAGUGUCUGAGUGCUAGGCAACAGAGGGGUGUAGUCAAUGGAGUAUAUUCGAAGCAUGGUCUUGUCACCAGUGGGGUACCUCGGAGAUCUGUACUUGGACCCAUUCUCUUUAAUACUUUUAUUAGUGAUAUUGCAGAAGGUCUUGAUGGUAAGGUAUGUCUUUUUGCUGAUGAUACUAAGAUAUGUAACAGGGUUGAUGUUCCAGGAUGGAUAAGCCAAAUGGCAAAUGAUUUAGGUAAACUAGAAAAAUGGUCAGAGUUGUGGCAACUGACAUUUAAUAAGGAUAAGUGCAAGAUAAUGCAUCUUGGACGUAACCUCAACAUCUGAGGAAAGGGAUUUAGGGGUAAUUAUUUCAGAUGACUUAAAGGUAGGCAGACAAUGUAAUAGAUCAGCAUGAAAUGCUAGCAGAUUGCUUGGUUGUAUAGGGAGAGGUAUUAGCAGUAGAAAGAGGGAAGUGCUCAUGCCAUUGUACAGAACAUUGGUGAGACCUCACUUGGAGUAUUGUACGCAGUACUAGAGACUGUAUCUCCAGAAGGAUAUUAAUACUUUAGAGAGAGUUCAGAAAAGGGCUACUACACUGGUUCAUGGAUUGCAGGAUAAAACUUACAAGGAAAGGUUAAAGGAGAUUAACAUGUAUAGCUUGGAGGAAAGACGACAAGAGGACAUAGUCUUAAAUUAGAGGGGCAAAGGUUUCAAAAUAAUAUCAGGAAGUAUUACUUUACUGAGAGGGUAGUGGAUGCAUGGAAUUGCCUUCCAGCUGAAGUGGUAGAGGUUAACACAGUAAAGGAGUUUAAGCAUGCAUGGGAUAGGCAUAAGGCUAUCCUAGAUAUACGAUAAGGCCAGGGACUAAUGCAAGUAUUUAUAAAAUUGGGCAGACUAGAUGGGCGGAAUGGUUCUUAUCUGCCAUUACAUUCUAUGUUUCUUUCAGUCGUGUUUUAUUGCGUCUAAACGCGCUUGUUAUUAUUACACUACAUCAUUUCAUAAACAGCCGUUGUAUUAUGUAAAUUAUGUGUAACAGCUUAAAAGGAGUUUAUGCGUUGCUGAUGAAAGGUUCUUUUUCUUUUUAUUAUCAACUCUGUAUCGGUGAAUUUACCUGUGACUUUAUCUGUAAAAAAUGUAAUUAUUUGGUUGCUACAAGUAGUUUACCUUUCAGAUUAAUUUACAGAACCUAAACCAUAAAACACAAGAACUAAUCAAUGUUUUUUCUUGUUUCCGUUACAAUAAUUUCAAAGAGUGCAACACACACUAUAUAAAGUCACUUUACAUUACCUGCAGCUGUUUUGUGUGCAUAUCCUGUAUGUCUCUCUAAAUUUCUAAUUGUAGACGUUCAAUUUACAGCUAAAGUCCAAGAGCACACAGUGUGGUGCGAUCAGAAGCCACCAUCCCCAAUACAACUCCUUCUUCCCAAUUUUAAUUCCUCAAGUAAUUACCCAUUAGCCCCUCAUGCUCUGUGCGGAUUGGUUGUUGACCCACCCCCCCCCAGAUUUUUGACCAUGUUCCCUCUAGCCAAUUCAGUCUUCUACACUGAAACAUUGAGAUGUUAAUUACUCGCAAAUUGCAUAUGUCAACAAUAAAAUAGAGCAAAAAUAUUUAUCUACGUAUUUUUAUCUAUUACUUUUUUAUUAAGACACAACUGCUGUAAGCAUUUUUAUUAUUGCACCACCCAUGUAAGGGCAGAUGGAUAUAGCUCCAAAUUGGGAUCUAGGGGUAUUUUUUUUGUUUCUUUGUUUCUUCUGCUGAUAAUGCAUUGGUGCUGGGCGACAUUACAUGCUGCAAAUGAAGACAUUCUAUUUGUGUCAUUUAUUUUUGCAAUCGCAGAUCACUGAUCUCUGUCUCCCCUAUCGAGAAAUUACUUGCGCAUUUAUUUCUAAUAAAUUAAAAACUGAACUUUCUCAUGCAUUAUAAUGGUUCAAUAAUUUAAACUUUUAACUACAUUUUGGCCAAUAAUUUAUUCAAUAUUUAUCUAGUUUACUACUGUUCAUUAGUUUAAAUAGGUCAUAGGUUCACCCAUGCAUGGGCAAAGCACAAUUUUAACUGUUACAUAGAAACAUUGUCCAUAAUUAUAUCACACAUAUAAAUGGAGGUGAAAUAUGAGAUAAUUAAAAUGGUAAAAUAUUAAAUUUUGUUGUUUUAUUAAGCAUACAAUGUAGCAAAGAUUAUUAUAUUGUAGGCUUUGUUCUCACGGUUUGGACAGCAGGAGAACCCAUUUUUGUUUUUCUUCAAUGCAAUGCAUAUUUGUGUCGUUCUAUUACAAAUUUAAAACUAUAUACAGAAAAAGAAAAAAUGUAGUGAUAGUGCACAGCUAUGUAAAUGUGUUACUUGCAUUAUUCACAAAUGAUCUAAAAAAGAUAGAAAAAAAAUCACAAGUGUAGCGGAAUGGGCUUCGCCACAGUACCUUCAUGUUGCUAAGGGCUGUCCACCCACCGUUUUUUUGUUACUUUAUUUCGGUUACCUUCCCUGUUGGUUAAUUGUGGAAACAAGUAACAAUAUAAUAUUGACCAUGGGGUUCGACAAACGAACCAACUACUGAACAACCAGGCCACGCAGGAGAGGAGUGUGGCAUUAACUGACCUCCCUAACUUGGUUCACACUAUUUUAAUUCCCAACUGCACAAACUAACUGGGUGUUCCCUGGGUGGCUGCCGUUUGUCAUACGAACACGUGGCGGCGGCCAUCUUAGCAUACGAAUUACACCAGCGGUGUUUGGUCGUCGAGUGUCUGGAACCUAAAUCAGACACGCGAUGGCAUGAACCUCGCAUAAGUUUGUGGGAACUCAAGGGAACAGAGCGGUGUUUGGUAAAAAGAAUCAUACGAACGAGAGGAAUUAAACGAACAAAGACAUGAACCAUUCUGUUAUAUAUUUUCAUGCAUUUCAACCUCCUGAACGGAGACUUCCAUAAACUUUCGUACCUCUGAACCGAUCUGGGUGAUUUUUCAGUGUGUUGCUCCCCCAGAUCGGGGCUUUCAGGGGAUGUUUGAAUUAUGAAUGUAGGAUAUGUUUUUUGGGGUAUUUCCAGAAAAGUACGAAAAUUUAGAUUUUUCUGUUUUGGGAAAAUUGAGUUGAUACAGUAAUUAACUCAAUUGUCCCCUGAGCAGAGGGGAGGGAUUGUGUGUAAUGACCUUACUCUGUGUUUAUUGGUUGUUGUAUAUUUUUAUCGGUGCCCCACAAGGUCCACCUGGGUGGUAACCUUUGGGUCAAAACCUGCAUAAAGGCCAGCCUGGCCAUUAAAGGUUCGGUUCUGCUCCUAAUACUGAGUGUCGUCCAGUUAUUGGGAAGGAUGAUGGGAUAUUCGUGUAUUAUCUUGUACUUAUGCCUGCUGUCUUGAAGUUUCCUGUUUGUUCCCGAGUAGCUGUUGAAGUAGAGAAGAAGCCCUGCUACCACUGCUCUCCGCUACAUCAUAGCUUAGUAUAUCUGUAAAUAUGAGUGAUAAAUAGCACACAGUUAUACAUUCUUGUUCUUCUGAGCCACAAAUAUCAGCUAAGAUAAAGAGCAGGGUAUUGUAUACUCCAAUACAAUUUAUGUUACCUCCUAGAUAGAAAGGCUCUCAAACAGAAGUGAUAUAGACCAAAUCAUGGUAUAAUUAUAAACAUUUAUAAAGCACUCACAUUAGUAUCUUACUUCUCAGUUUCCAGGAUCAUGCACGAUUAAAAUGAUUGCAAUGAGACUAUCUUUUCACUAAAACAAAACUCUAUAGAGGGUAUAUAUGACCCACCUUAUGUGACUGUGUUUGUGCUGAUCUGAUAGAGUAGUGAUUCCUGGACUGGCUCACUGAGUCAUUGCCUGGAUUAUCUCUUCAAUAUCACCCGCUCAGAUGGGCAGGAAUCCAAUAGGCAGCAAGUCUUGUUACUGGUAGUUGGGCAGCACAACGCUGUGCAGAUAGGGUCCAUGUGUUGGGCGACUCACUUGACUCACGAGUCAACAGUGAAAGCUCAAUGAGCCAAAUGUGGCUCCUAAAUCAUCGUAAUUAGGAACUGUGAUGUAGAUAAGUGUUCUCUCCAACCUGUUCUGCCCAUAUGUUGUUUAAACACAAUGCGGGAGAUUUAUUAAGGCUAAUGCAGGUUAUAUUAUGGGGUCUAUUUUGCCCUUAAAAUCUCCACCCUUCCGAUAUGAAAUAUGCACACCACAGACAACUAAUAAAUUGUUUAUUGAACUAUAAACACAAAUGCUUCCAAUUGAUGAAAAACAAAAAGAAAAUAAGCAGAACAAAUACAAACAAAAUCUCUCAAUAUUCAAGAGAAAUUCCAUAUGUAGACUAAGACUCUCUUACAGUAGCUUUUUGGUGUAUCUCUUCAUAUGUGAAACACAGAUCAUGCCACAAAAUGUAUGGCGGUUUAUUUUUAUUUUUUAUCAAACUGGAAUACUGACACAGCAUUAUUUUUAUUGCCAAGAAUGUUAUCCAGAGCUUGAAUAGGUGUAUUUUUCUAGAUGCUCAAUGAUGGGGAUCUACACAAGGUGUCAUUGACCCAAACAUUCUAUACACACAUUCUAUGGCACACUAAAGCAUGGCAACUUUUUAUAAUGAAUGGAAAUGCUGGAUGCAUUUGCCCCUAUUAAAUUUCUACUUAACCUGGCACUAAACUGAACUCACAUUUAGUAGAAAAAGAGUCUUUGUACGUGCAUGAUUAGAUUGCAUCUGUAACAAUGUUUAUGCUUUGUGUCUUAUUACUUUUGACAGAGUGCUUUGGAAGGAAAACUUAGCACAUUGUUCAGACACCUGCAUGCUACAAGACAAACAUUGAGCCUUAUUUUAGCCCCUGGGCCAGAGUCUCCGGAGUCGAGUCAUCACAUACUACCGACUGUUUUUUAU